UAAAGGUUAAAAAUGACGCUCGAACAUGCAUCCUCGCCAGAAUACGCGCGGAAACAAUGUACGUACAAAGAAUUGCAGAAUUCAGUGAAUCAUCGAAUCCACAUACGUACAUCGCUUCCGCCAGUAUUCUGGCGGGCAUGCCUGUCCGAGCGUCAUUU
This 158-nucleotide ribosomal RNA is filed under the name Fusarium sacchari. Its description in RNAcentral is "5.8S ribosomal RNA". The record is from RNAcentral. Lineage: Eukaryota; Fungi; Ascomycota; Sordariomycetes; Hypocreales; Nectriaceae.